RNAcentral lists this unclassified non-coding RNA (1942 nucleotides) under Venturia canescens. RNAcentral's name for it is "casein kinase I-like, transcript variant X1". The record is from RNAcentral. Lineage: Eukaryota; Metazoa; Arthropoda; Insecta; Hymenoptera; Ichneumonidae.
UCGCGAGCGGAAGCGCGAUCAAACAUGGAGAUUGAGGCCCCCCCGAGCCUCUGAAACCGCGCGGCUCCCCGUAUACGCGACACACGAAACUCGCGCGUUCUCCCUCGACACACGUAUACAAACAUACGGGGCGUGAGUGCGAGAGAGAAAAAGAAAGAGCGAGGGAGAGAGAGUGAGAAGGAGAAAGAAAGAGAGAGAGAGAGAGUCUGAGCGAGACGUAUACACACAAAAGCCACGAGGGGGUUUACAGUUAGUGUGUUGAUCAGAGGUACGUCCCCAGGGUGAUCGGGGCCAGUUCUUGGCCAGCCCAAGCCACGAGGAUGGAGCUCCGAGUCGGCAACAGGUAUCGGCUAGGACGCAAAAUCGGGAGCGGCUCUUUCGGCGACAUUUAUCUAGGUACAAACAUCUCUACCGGCGAAGAAGUCGCUAUCAAAUUAGAAUGCAUCAAAACGCGCCAUCCACAGUUACACAUAGAGUCCAAGUUUUACAAAAUGAUGCAAGGAGGCGUUGGUAUACCUACAAUAAAGUGGUGCGGAUCAGAAGGUGACUACAACGUUAUGGUGAUGGAGUUGUUAGGUCCGUCGCUGGAGGAUCUCUUUAAUUUUUGUUCACGAAGAUUCACCCUUAAAACAGUUUUAUUACUAGCCGAUCAAAUGAUCAGCAGAACGGACUAUAUUCACAGCCGUCAUUUCAUACAUCGUGACAUAAAACCAGACAAUUUCCUUAUGGGCUUGGGCAAGAAGGGUAACUUAGUGUACAUUAUAGAUUUUGGACUUGCCAAAAAGUACCGUGACAGUCGCACUCUCAGGCACAUACCCUACCGAGACAACAAGAAUCUUACGGGUACAGCCAGAUACGCGAGUAUAAACACACACGUGGGAGUCGAACAAUCCCGGAGAGACGAUCUCGAAUCACUAGGCUACGUUUUCAUGUACUUCAAUAUAGGUAGUUUGCCCUGGCAGGGUCUCAAGGCCGCGACAAAGAGGCAAAAGUACGAACGCAUCUCGGAAAUGAAAAUGUCAACGUCAAUCGAUAUACUCUGCGCUGGCUAUCCUAACGAGUUUGCCAAGUAUCUGAAGUACUGUCGGCAGAUCCGUUUUGAAGAGAAGCCCGAUUAUCCAUACCUGAGGCAGCUAUUUCGUAGUCUUUUCCACCAUGAAACUUUCACCUACGAUUAUGUAUUCGAUUGGAACAUGCUCAAGUUUGGUAACGCGAGGCAACCUGCAUUGCCAGCUGCCCAGCAGCAAGUACCGACUCAUUCACAACCGGCGAACGUGCCGCUUCCUGCGGGGACCAAUAACGAGCAAGAACAUCCAUCGAGGCUUUACACCCGGCAAUGUUUGGCAAACGCAUCGACCGUGUUCGGUCCAGCGGUGGGAACGUCGAGUCGACGUCACAGACACGAGGCGAUAGAGGCACGGGGGGUUGACCAGGAGGAUCAGGAAAAGAGCGACCUCCAAGGUACCGGAACUGAUGCCCACGAGAGACGAAGGGUCAGCAUAACUAGGUUGUUGCCCAGAAGCUCUGCUGCAGCAGCUGCUGCCGAAAUGCAACCCAAACCCAAAUAAACUGAACACAAAGAAAAAUCAAAAUCUAUUAUGAGAAAGUAACGUCGAGAAAAAGGCAAAGCGGAGUGAAAACACAUACUUAAAACACAAAUGAGGGCAGGAAUAAAUCGCAUUAUUGGCCUGAAACGUUUGAGAGACAGCGGAAAAAGAAAAAGGGGAUCGACGAAAACGGAAGAUAAGCACGAGGAUCGCCCUAAUGUCGCUGCUUUUGUGUUUUCUUUUUUAAUUUUGGAAGCGCCAAUGCGGUGUCAGUGGUGGUGGCCAAGCCGAUGGCCAGGCGGAUAAACAGCAAGUGAACAAUGAGGAUGCUAAUCAACAUACUGCCCUGGCUAAUCGUCAUUUGUCCUCGCAGCUGAUCUCUCGUUCCUCUCGAA